ACAGAAUUCGCUGGUUGGUUGGCAUUUUAUUUCUCCAGAUGUCUAUCUACUAGUGGGAGGCAAAGGAAGAGUGACCGACCCAUUCCAGGAAACAUUUGUUCAUUUAAGCCCUGAUCACUUGUUUCCUAACCUCCAGGUGGGAUGUGCUGGUCCCCGUGGCCGGUGGGCCAUGAGAAUCAGAGAAAAGCACCCCUCCCUCUGGGCAGACACAGGCCCUGCUAGGUGGGAUUGAGGUUGGAUUCUAGUCCCUGUUUGCUCCCUGCCUGGACACCCUGGUGCUCUGAGCUAUCGCUCAACUGAACGUGCUUCACUGGGGUAAUUCUAAUGGGAAGAGCUCUAAGCAAGGGAGGAGGGGAACAUUUUGGAGGCAGGUGAAGCCUUGUAGUUACCAUCAUCUCAUGUAGUGUCUGUCUCUUCCAUCCGAUGCCGUAGGCUGGUGCUGUAGGCUGGCUGUGCUCACCAGUUCAGCAGGUUAAUUACUAGGAGUCCCUGCUAAGUGCCCAGCAUCCCCAGGAGUAGUGACACCCAGUGUGUGGUGGCCUUUAUAGUGUGCCAUGUUUUUAGAAAGAAUGGCCGUAUUCGAUCCAGCGAUGACUUUGGGAGGUAGGCAGGGCAAGAAGGUUAUACCCAUUUAUAAAUGAGCUGAGGCUCUAGGGAGGCGAAGUGAUGUGCACGCCCUCAGCUAGAAGAUGGCAACACUGGCAUCUUGAUCCUCCAGUUUGACUGGUUCACCAGCUGUGCCAUGUGGCAUAUUACUAGACAGACUCACAAAGUCCAGCUUUCACCUCAACUUUCCAGAAUGCACAAAUCUUAAGGGAGUCUUCGUGCCUCCAAAUGCCAGACCAUUUACCCCCCUCAUUCUCUCAUGUCCUAUUUGACAGGAUUCUCCUGAGAGUAUGGCACAUCUGUCUAGCACGUCAUGUUUCGGGGAAGCCUUUCCCAACGGUGUCAUGAGGCUGGCAGGGUGGGCAUUCUGUCCAUCAGCGAGGAGCAGAUGGAGAGCCAAAGAGGAUGAGUGAAUUGCCGACGCGCACGCCUGGUUCAGGAUCAGCAUCCAGGUCUCCUCAUUAAGUCCAAUGAGCUUUCAGCUCUGUCAUGCUGCCUCUUCUUCCCCAGAGGGCUUGGGAAACAUAAGCAACUGCCUACAGGAAAUAUGCUUCACCUUCCUCACAGACACGGCGUUCCAGAACCAGACUCCAUGGAAACAGAACACAGAGGGUGUGUACAUGCAUGUCUUCUAGACCCACUCCAGUUCUCAUCAGAAGCUGAUGAGCCACCCCACAGUUCACGGCGGGUCAGACCUAAUCCGUAUCCUCUUCAAAAUAGGCCAGAAAAAUGGAAUCACUGGAUAUCAGAAGAGAAAGGGAACCACAGAGUCUUGCUAGUCUAAUGCCUUUAUUUUAAGGAUGAAGAAAUAGCCUUUUGUUUUGUUUUUCAGAUUUAUUGAGAUAUAAUGUACAAAGUGGUAAGAUACUUAAAGUUACAACAUGAUUUUGAAACAACCUUGCCUUGUGAAAGGACUCCCCCAUCAUGUUAAUUACCCUGAUAAUCACUUCACAUAUUUACCUUUGUGUGUGUAUGUUUGAGAAUAUUUAAGUUCUACUCUCUCAGCAAAUUUCAAUUAUACAAAUACAGUGUUAUCAACUAUAGUCACCAUGUUAUACAGUAGAUCCUCAGACUUCAUUCAUCUUGUAACUAAAAGUUUACACAAUUUUGCUGACUUCUCCUAUUUCUCCUACCUCCAGUCCCUUCAACCAUUUUCUACACUCUGUUUCUUAGAGUUUUUUAAAGAUUUUACAUAUAAGUGAUACUAUACAGUAUAUGUCUUUCUCUGUGUGCCUUAUUUCACUUAACAUAAUUCCCUCUAGUUUUACCUAUGUUGUUCCCAGUGAUAGGAUCUCCUUCUUGUUUAAGGCUGCAUAGCAUUCCAUUAUAUUUUUAGAACUCAUUUUCUUGAUCCAUUCAUGCAUCAGUGGAUGGUUAUAUUGUUUCAAUACCUUGACUGUUGUGAAUAUUGCUGCCAUGAACACAGAAGUACAGAUAUCUCUUGGAGAUAAUGGUUUCAUUUCCUUUGCAUAUCUACCCUGAAGAGGGAUUAUUGAAUCAUAUGGUAGUUCUCUUUUUAAUUUCUAGGAGGAAUAUCCAUACUGUUUUCCACAGUGGCUGUACCAGUUUACAUUUCCACCAACAGUAUACAAGGGUUUCCUUUUCUCCACACCCUAGCCAGCAUUUAUUGAAUUUUGAUUACAGCCAUCCUAACAGGUGCAGAGUGACUGUGGGUUUUUUGAUGUGGGUUUUCCUGAUGAUUAGUGAUGCUGAGUACCUUUUCAUGUACCUGUUGGUCAUUUAUAUGUCUUCAGAAAAAUGUCUAAUCACAUCCUUUGCUCAUUUUUAAAUUGGGUUAUUUGGGUUUUUGCUUAGUUAUGUGAAUUCCUUGAAUGUGGAUAAUAAUCCCUUAUCUGUAAAUAUGUAAAUACUUUCUCUCAUUCCAUAGGCUGCCUUUUUAUUUUUUUAAUUUUAAAUUUUUUAUUUUUUGUCGUUUGUCUUUCUAGGGCUGCACCUGUGGCAUGUGGAAGUUCCUAGGCUAGGGGUCAGAUUGGAGCUACAGCUGCCGGUCUAUGCCAUAGCCACAGCAAUGCCUUUUUAUUUUAUGAUGGUUUCCUUUAGGUAUUCUAUGCUCAUGGAUUGAAAGAAUUAAUAAGGUUUAAAUGUCUGUAGUACCCAAAGCAAUCUAUAGAUUCAAUGCAACAUCUAUAAAAAUGCCAAUGUGCUUUCCACACAAAUAGAAAAACAAUCCUAAAGUCUAUGGAAACAUGGAAGACCCCAAACAUUCAAAGCAAUCUUGAGAAAGAAGAACAAACCUAUAGGAAUCACAGUUUGUAAUUUCAAACUAUAUUAUAAAGAUACAGUAAUCAAAACAGUAUGGUGCUGGCAUAAAAACAGGCUCAUAGUCUAGUGGAACAGUGUAGAGUCUAGAAGUAAACCCAUGCAUAUAUGGUCAAUUAAUUUUCAACAAAGUAGCCAAGAAUAUACAAUGGGGAAAGGAUAGUCUCUUACCUAAGUGGGAAGACAUGGAUAGCCACAUGCAAAAGAAUGAAACUGGAUCCCUGUCUUACGCCAUACACAACUCAAAAUGGAUGGAAGACUUGAAGUCGAACUGAAACUGUAAAGGUCCUGAAAGAGAACUCAGGGAGAGUAAACCCCUUGACCUUGGUCUUGACAAUGACUAUUUGAAUUUGAUACCAAAAGCAAAGUCAACAAAAGCAAAAGUAAACAAGCAGAUGACAUUGCAUUAAAAAGCUGCUCUGGGAGUUCCCAUCGUGGCUCAGUGGUUAACGAAUCCGACUAGGAACCAUGAGGUUGCAGGUUCGAUCCAUGGCCUUGCUCAAUGGGUGAAGAACCUGGUGUUGCCGUGAGCUGCGGUGUAGGUCGCAGACGCGGUUCGGAUCCCAGUUGCUGUGGCUCUGGCGUAGGCCUGUGGCUACAGCUCCGAUUAGACCCCUAGCCUGGGAACCUCCAUAUGCCGAGGGAGCCGCUCUAGAAAUGGCAAAAAGACAAAAAAAAAAAAAAAA
This 3572-nucleotide long non-coding RNA is filed under the name Sus scrofa (pig). RNAcentral's name for it is "lncRNA (ENSSSCG00015023141.1)". Lineage: Eukaryota; Metazoa; Chordata; Mammalia; Artiodactyla; Suidae. The record is from RNAcentral.